GGAUGGUUGGGCUGGAUGAUCUUGUAGGUCUUUUCCAACCUAGCUAAUUCUAUGAUUCUAUGAUUUUUUUUUUUAGCGUGAAUGUAUAGGCUAGAACAAUACAUCUGAGUCUGUCCUGGUUUCAGCCAAAACAGCAUUAAUAGCACACCAGUCUUUGGUUGUCUCUGAGUGAUGGGAAGACACCUGAGGUGGGGAAAGAGCCAUGGCCAUGAUGGUGUGUGGGCAUGAGGCGCAACAGGUGACCUGAGUUAGGCUAAGUGUUAUUCCAGACCGUGUGACACCACACAGAAGGUUAUCUAGCUGUGGGGAGUGGUCAUGAGGAAGCUGCUGCUCAGGUGCUAUGGGGCUCACUUGGUGGUGGGUGAGACUUUGUGUUGCUGGCAGGCACUGGUUGUCUGUAUUUAUGGCUGCGUGUCUGGUGGUGACUAGCUGCAUUUCAGAUAUGUAUUAUAUAUAGGCAUAUAUAUUGUUUUCAUUGUCCUUUUGUUUCCAUUUUCUUUUCUGUCUUAGUAAAUAGCUCUUAUUUCAACCCAAGAGUUCUAUUUUGUUUCCAGUUCUCUCCCUCAUUCUACCUGGGAGGAAGUGAGCAAAAGGCCUUGUGGUGUUCAGCCGCUGCCAGGUUAUGCCACAAAACAGUCAAUUUGGAAAAGUUGCUUUCCUUCUCAGCUCUGCAGUCAGUGGCUCUGUCUGGCAUCAGGAAGCUAGUAUUCUUUGUCAAUGAAAAAACUCAGGUGCUAGCUUUCAAGGCUGCAGAUGUUUUUAAUGCUGAAUUGAGAGCAAGUGCUUUUUAAAGGAGAAACAUAAAUCACAGAAAUACUGUAUUGCUUUAAAAGAAUGAGAAGAAAGUGGAGUAUAUCCUAAGAAAUAUGAUGUAUUGGAUAAGCAUCUACCAUAUUUCCUAAGAUUUCACUUUUGGAAAUUAAAAUGGACAUGCUGCGGUUAAGAGGCUUUUGUAAUUAUAUGUUAGUAUCAGAACGCUCUAUUGUAUGUAGGUUAUAAACAGUAUUAUUUUGACCCAAUUACCAAUUAUUUGGGCAAUAAAAUAGCUGAACAGAAAAGUAUCUCUGAGGAG
This 1072-nucleotide long non-coding RNA is filed under the name Numida meleagris (helmeted guineafowl). Its description in RNAcentral is "lncRNA (ENSNMEG00000008367.1)". Lineage: Eukaryota; Metazoa; Chordata; Aves; Galliformes; Numididae. The record is from RNAcentral.